Molecule: ribosomal RNA, 306 nt
Filed under: uncultured Streptococcus sp.
Lineage: Bacteria; Bacillati; Bacillota; Bacilli; Lactobacillales; Streptococcaceae
Description: bacterial SSU rRNA
Rfam family: Bacterial small subunit ribosomal RNA
Source: RNAcentral
CUGGGUUAAGUCCCGCAACGAGCGCAACCCCUAUUGUUAGUUGCCAUCAUUCAGUUGGGCACUCUAGCGAGACUGCCGGUAAUAAACCGGAGGAAGGUGGGGAUGACGUCAAAUCAUCAUGCCCCUUAUGACCUGGGCUACACACGUGCUACAAUGGUUGGUACAACGAGUUGCGAGUCGGUGACGGCGAGCUAAUCUCUUAAAGCCAAUCUCAGUUCGGAUUGUAGGCUGCAACUCGCCUACAUGAAGUCGGAAUCGCUAGUAAUCGCGGAUCAGCACGCCGCGGUGAAUACGUUCCCGGGCCUU